This 873-nucleotide ribosomal RNA is filed under the name uncultured bacterium. Its description in RNAcentral is "bacterial SSU rRNA". It matches the Rfam family "Bacterial small subunit ribosomal RNA", at positions 8 to 916 of the family's 1533-position model. The record is from RNAcentral.
AGAGUUUGAUCAUGGCUCAGGACAAACGCUGGCGGCGUGCCUAACACAUGCAAGUCGAACGUCCUGUUUUCGGACAGGAAGUGGCGGACGGGUGAGUAACACGUGGGUAUCUACCCUCAGGUGAGGAAUACCGACGAGAAAUCGUCGACAAUACCGCAUAUCCUUCUGCGGAAGGAAAGCUCGUAAGAGCGCCUGGGGAUGAGCUUGCGGUCGAUUAGUUAGUUGGUGGGGUAAUGGCCUACCAAGGCGACGAUCGAUAGCUGGUCUGAGAGGACGAUCAGCCACACUGGGAUUGAGAACGGCCCAGACUCCUACGGGGGGCAGCAGUGAGGAAUAUUCGUCAAUGGGGGAAACCCUGAACGAGCAACGCCGCGUGCAGGAUGACGGCCUUCGGGUUGUAAACUGCUUUUCUUGGGGACGAGAACGGACGGUACCCAAGGAAGAAGCCCCGGCUAACUACGUGCCAGCAGCCGCGGUAAUACGUAGGGGGCGAGCGUUGUCCGGAGUUACUGGGCGUAAAGCGCACGCAGGCGGUUGAUCGCGUUCGGAGUGACAGUGUUCGGCUUAACUGAACAAGUGCUCUGAAAACGGGUCAACUUGAGGGUCUUAGAGGAAAGCGGAAUUCCGAGUGGAGCGGUGAAAUGCGUAGAGAUUCGGAGGAACACCAAAGGCGAAGGCAGCUUUCUGGAGGACACCUGACGCUCAGGUGCGAAAGCUAGGGGAGCGAACGGGAUUAGAUACCCCGGUAGUCCUAGCCGUAAACGAUGACCACUAGGCGUGGGAGGUAUCGACCCCUUCCGUGCCGAAGCCAACGCAUGAAGUGCCCCGCCUGGGGAGUACGGCCGCAAGGCUAAAACUCAAAGGAAUUGACGG